GGCCUGGUGGUCUAGUAGUAUGAUUCCUUCUUAGGGCUGUUGGUCAUCUGGAGGAGGUCCCGGGUUCAAUUCCCGGCCAGGCCC
Non-coding RNA from Russula aff. rugulosa BPL654, 84 nucleotides. The record is from the annotation of a GenBank genome assembly. Lineage: Eukaryota; Fungi; Basidiomycota; Agaricomycetes; Russulales; Russulaceae.